This 287-nucleotide ribosomal RNA is filed under the name uncultured bacterium. Its description in RNAcentral is "partial 16S ribosomal RNA". It matches the Rfam family "Bacterial small subunit ribosomal RNA", at positions 773 to 1060 of the family's 1533-position model. The record is from RNAcentral.
GUGGAUUAGAUACCCUGGUAGUCCACGCCUUAAACGUUGUGCACUAGAUGUGGGGGGUUUGACCCCUUCCGUGUCCAAGCUAACGCGAUAAGUGCACCGCCUGGGGACUACGGCCGCAAGGCUAAAACUCAAAGGAAUUGACGGGGGCCCGCACAAGCGGUGGAGCAUGUGGCUUAAUUCGAGGCAACGCGAAGAACCUUACCUGGGCUUGACAUGUUCAGGACCGUCCGCGAAAGCGGAUUUCCCUUCGGGGCCUGAUCACAGAUGCUGCACGGCCGUCGCCAGCU